GGAAUUUUGCGCAAUGGGCGCAAGCCUGACGCAGCAACGCCGCGUGGAGGAAGAAGGCCCUCGGGUCGUAAACUCCUGUCCUUGGGGAAGAUGGUGACGGUACCCUUGGAGGAAGCCCCGGCUAACUCCGUGCCAGCAGCCGCGGUAAUACGGAGGGGGCAAGCGUUGUUCGGAAUUACUGGGCGUAAAGGGCGCGUAGGCGGAACGUCAAGUUAGGGGUGAAAGGCCUGGGCUCAACCUAGGAACGGCCUCUAAAACUGACGAUCUGGAGUCCGGAAGAGGAUGGCGGAAUUCCCAGUGUAGAGGUGAAAUUCGUAGAUAUUGGGAAGAACACCGGUGGCGAAGGCGGCCAUCUGGUCCGGUACUGACGCUGAGGCGCGAAAGCGUGGGGAGCAAAC
Molecule: ribosomal RNA, 398 nt
Filed under: uncultured bacterium
Lineage: Bacteria
Description: bacterial SSU rRNA
Rfam family: Bacterial small subunit ribosomal RNA
Source: RNAcentral